CCCCCCCCCCCCCCCCCCCCCCCCCCCCCCCCCCCCCCCCCCCCCCCCCCCCCCCCCCGGGGCAGCCCGGCGGCCGGGCACCGUGCGCGGCGGGGCCACGCUUCCAGCACGCUGCUCGCACGGACACCGCCCCGCCGCGCCGAGUCCCAGACGUGAAGCUGGCUGUUCUGGGGACAAGGGGACAACCUGUUAGAAGCAGGCGUGGUUCUGAUUUCCUCAGAAGAAGCACAAAAGGAGAUGCUCUGUUCUUUGAAAAUAACUGGAGGCACUGGCAAGAAGCAGCAACACCGCAUCGAACAAGGGAACCGCUUCCAGGUUAUCCAAACAUGCUGUUGAACUGAAUUUUGCA
This 349-nucleotide long non-coding RNA is filed under the name Ficedula albicollis (Collared flycatcher). RNAcentral describes it as "lncRNA (ENSFALG00000025621.1)". The record is from RNAcentral. Lineage: Eukaryota; Metazoa; Chordata; Aves; Passeriformes; Muscicapidae.